ACGGGGUGCAGCAGGCGCGAAAACUUUACAAUGCGGGAAACCGCGAUAAGGGGACACCGAGUGCCAGCAUUUAUGUUGGCUGUCCACAUGUGUAAACGGCAUGUGUUAGCAAGGGCCGGGCAAGACCGGUGCCAGCCGCCGCGGUAACACCGGCGGCCCGAGUGGUAAUCACUUUUAUUGGGUCUAAAGGGUCCGUAGCCGGUUUGAUCAGUUCUUCGGGAAAUCUGACAGCUCAACUGUUAGGCUUCCGGGGAAUACUGUCAGACUUGGGACCGGGAGAGGUAAGAGGUACUACAGGGGUAGGAGUGAAAUCUUGUAAUCCCUGUGGGACCACCAGUGGCGAAGGCGUCUUACCAGAACGGGUCCGACGGUGAGGGACGAAAGCUGGGGGCACGAACCGGAUUAGAUACCCGGGUAGUCCCAGCCGUAAACGAUGUUCGCUAGGUGUCAGGGGCGGUGCGACCGCUUCUGGUGCCGUAGGGAAGCCGUGAAGCGAACCACCUGGAAGU
This 509-nucleotide ribosomal RNA is filed under the name uncultured archaeon. RNAcentral describes it as "bacterial SSU rRNA". It matches the Rfam family "Archaeal small subunit ribosomal RNA", at positions 325 to 836 of the family's 1478-position model. The record is from RNAcentral.